AGUAACACGUGGGUGACCUACCUUUGAGUGGGGGAUAACGCUUCGAAAGGGGCGCUAAUACCGCAUGACAUCCUGCCCUUGAAUGGGCGGCGAUCAAAGCCGGGGAUCGUAAGACCUGGCGCUCGGAGAGGGGCCCGCGGCCGAUUAGCUAGUUGGUGAGGUAAUGGCUCACCAAGGCAACGAUCGGUAGCCGGCCUGAGAGGGCGGACGGCCACACUGGGACUGAGACACGGCCCAG
This 238-nucleotide ribosomal RNA is filed under the name uncultured bacterium. Its description in RNAcentral is "partial 16S ribosomal RNA". It matches the Rfam family "Bacterial small subunit ribosomal RNA", at positions 109 to 334 of the family's 1533-position model. The record is from RNAcentral.